GUACACGAGCGGCGAACGGGUGAGUAACACGUGGGUGAUCUGCCCUGCACUUCGGGAUAAGCCUGGGAAACUGGGUCUAAUACCGGAUAUGACCAAAGGCUGCAUGGCUUUUGGUGGAAAGGUUUACUGGUGCAGGAUGGGCCCGCGGCCUAUCAGCUUGUUGGUGGGGUAAUGGCCUACCAAGGCGACGACGGGUAGCCGACCUGAGAGGGUGACCGGCCACACUGGGACUGAGACACGGCCCAGACUCCUACGGGAGGCAGCAGUGGGGAAUAUUGCACAAUGGGCGAAAGCCUGAUGCAGCGACGCCGCGUGAGGGAUGACGGCCUUCGGGUUGUAAACCUCUUUCAGCAGGGACGAAGCGAAAGUGACGGUACCUGCAGAAGAAGCACCGGCCAACUACGUGCCAGCAGCCGCGGUAAUACGUAGGGUGCGAGCGUUGUCCGGAAUUACUGGGCGUAAAGAGCUCGUAGGCGGUUUGUCGCGUCGUCUGUGAAAACCAGCAGCUCAACUGCUGGCUUGCAGGCGAUACGGGCAGACUUGAGUACUGCAGGGGAGACUGGAAUUCCUGGUGUAGCGGUGAAAUGCGCAGAUAUCAGGAGGAACACCGGUGGCGAAGGCGGGUCUCUGGGCAGUAACUGACGCUGAGGAGCGAAAGCGUGGGUAGCGAACAGGAUUAGAUACCCUGGUAGUCCACGCCGUAAACGGUG
This 710-nucleotide ribosomal RNA is filed under the name Rhodococcus sp. (in: high G+C Gram-positive bacteria). RNAcentral's name for it is "bacterial SSU rRNA". It matches the Rfam family "Bacterial small subunit ribosomal RNA", at positions 87 to 811 of the family's 1533-position model. The record is from RNAcentral. Lineage: Bacteria; Bacillati; Actinomycetota; Actinomycetes; Mycobacteriales; Nocardiaceae.